UGCACAGUUCUAUACUAUUAUAGAUAGCUGCCACAUUAUUCAUCUUAGAGAUGGCUUACUCUUCUUCAUCAUCGCAUCAUAUAUGUAUCAUACUUGCAAUGCCUCAUCGUAUUCUAUGAAUGAAUAAGAGUCUCCCAUCUUCAAGAAAGAUGAUGUGGUUGCCAUCUGCAACAGUCAGAACUCUGUGGUGUAAAAGUUGCACCAUAGAAGACUGAGCUUAUAUUUUAGGGUUUGCUUGUUGUAUCAUUAUAGAGUAACUGUGAUAGCCCAACCAAGCCCAGUCCAGCCAGC
Molecule: long non-coding RNA, 291 nt
Filed under: Elaeis guineensis (African oil palm)
Lineage: Eukaryota; Viridiplantae; Streptophyta; Magnoliopsida; Arecales; Arecaceae
Description: long non-coding RNA (EGUI_LNC017184)
Source: RNAcentral